CAAGGGGAGCGGCAGACGGGUGAGUAACACGUGGGGAUCUGCCCAAUGGUACGGAAUAACUCAGGGAAACUUGUGCUAAUACCGUAUGUGCCCUUCGGGGGAAAGAUUUAUCGCCAUUGGAUGAACCCGCGUCAGAUUAGCUAGUUGGUGUGGUAAAGGCGCACCAAGGCGACGAUCUGUAGCUGGUCUGAGAGGAUGAUCAGCCACACUGGGACUGAGACACGGCCCAGACUCCUACGGGAGGCAGCAGUGGGGAAUAUUGGACAAUGGGCGCAAGCCUGAUCCAGCCAUGCCGCGUGAGUGAUGAAGGCCUUAGGGUUGUAAAGCUCUUUCGCCGACGAAGAUAAUGACGGUAGUCGGAGAAGAAGCCCCGGCUAACUUCGUGCCAGCAGCCGCGGUAAUACGAAGGGGGCUAGCGUUGUUCGGAAUCACUGGGCGUAAAGCGCACGUAGGCGGAUUGUUAAGUCAGGGGUGAAAGCCUGGAGCUCAACUCCAGAACUGCCCUUGAUACUGGCAAUCUCGAGUCCGGAAGAGGUAAGUGGAACUGCGAGUGUAGAGGUGAAAUUCGUAGAUAUUCGCAAGAACACCAGUGGCGAA
This 597-nucleotide ribosomal RNA is filed under the name Xanthobacteraceae bacterium. RNAcentral's name for it is "bacterial SSU rRNA". It matches the Rfam family "Bacterial small subunit ribosomal RNA", at positions 87 to 719 of the family's 1533-position model. The record is from RNAcentral. Lineage: Bacteria; Pseudomonadati; Pseudomonadota; Alphaproteobacteria; Hyphomicrobiales; Xanthobacteraceae.